Molecule: ribosomal RNA, 449 nt
Filed under: uncultured bacterium
Lineage: Bacteria
Description: partial 16S ribosomal RNA
Rfam family: Bacterial small subunit ribosomal RNA
Source: RNAcentral
GAUGAACGCUGGCGGCAGGCCUAACACAUGCAAGUCGAACGAAGUCUUCGGACUUAGUGGCGGACGGGUGAGUAACACGUGGGAACGUACCUUUUGGUUCGGAACAACUCAGGGAAACUUGAGCUAAUACCGGAUGAGCCCUUAGGGGGAAAGAUUUAUCGCCGAAAGAGCGGCCCGCGUUAGAUUAGCUAGUUGGUGAGGUAAAGGCUCACCAAGGCUACGAUCUAUAGCUGGUCUGAGAGGAUGAUCAGCCACACUGGGACUGAGACACGGCCCAGACUCCUACGGGAGGCAGCAGUGGGGAAUCUUGCGCAAUGGGCGAAAGCCUGACGCAGCCAUGCCGCGUGAAUGAUGAAGGUCUUAGGAUUGUAAAAUUCUUUUACCAGGGACGAUAAUGACGGUACCUGGAGAAAAAGCCCCGGCUAACUUCGUGCCAGCAGCCGCCGUAA